This 254-nucleotide ribosomal RNA is filed under the name uncultured bacterium. RNAcentral describes it as "partial 16S ribosomal RNA". It matches the Rfam family "Bacterial small subunit ribosomal RNA", at positions 524 to 776 of the family's 1533-position model. The record is from RNAcentral.
UACGUAGGGGGCGAGCGUUGUCCGGAUUUAUUGGGCGUAAAGAGCUCGUAGGCGGCUUGGCAAGUCGAGUGUGAAACCUCCAGGCUCAACCUGGAGACGCCACUCGAUACUGCUAUGGCUAGAGUCCGGUAGGGGACCACGGAAUUCCUGGUGUAGCGGUGAAAUGCGCAGAUAUCAGGAGGAACACCGGUGGCGAAGGCGGUGGUCUGGGCCGGCACUGACGCUGAGGAGCGAAAGCGUGGGUAGCAAACAGG